RNAcentral lists this ribosomal RNA (655 nucleotides) under bacterium YG-72. Its description in RNAcentral is "bacterial SSU rRNA". It matches the Rfam family "Bacterial small subunit ribosomal RNA", at positions 785 to 1439 of the family's 1533-position model. The record is from RNAcentral.
CCUGGUUUGUCCACGCUGUAAACGAUGUCGACUUGGAGGUUGUGCCCUUGAGGCGUGGCUUCCGGAGCUAACGCGUUAAGUCGACCGCCUGGGGAGUACGGCCGCAAGGUUAAAACUCAAAUGAAUUGACGGGGGCCCGCACAAGCGGUGGAGCAUGUGGUUUAAUUCGAUGCAACGCGAAGAACCUUACCUACUCUUGACAUCCACGGAAUUCGCCAGAGAUGGCUUAGUGCCUUCGGGAACCGUGAGACAGGUGCUGCAUGGCUGUCGUCAGCUCGUGUUGUGAAAUGUUGGGUUAAGUCCCGCAACGAGCGCAACCCUUAUCCUUUGUUGCCAGCACGUAAUGGUGGGAACUCAAAGGAGACUGCCGGUGAUAAACCGGAGGAAGGUGGGGAUGACGUCAAGUCAUCAUGGCCCUUACGAGUAGGGCUACACACGUGCUACAAUGGCAUAUACAAAGAGAAGCGAACUCGCGAGAGCAAGCGGACCUCAUAAAGUAUGUCGUAGUCCGGAUUGGAGUCUGCAACUCGACUCCAUGAAGUCGGAAUCGCUAGUAAUCGUAGAUCAGAAUGCUACGGUGAAUACGUUCCCGGGCCUUGUACACACCGCCCGUCACACCAUGGGAGUGGGUUGCAAAAGAAGUAGGUAGCUUAAC